GAUGAACGCUGGCGGCAUGCCUAAUACAUGCAAGUCGAGCGAACAGACGAGGAGCUUUCUCCUCUGACUUUAUCGGCGGACGGGUGCUUCACACGUGGAUAACCUACCUAUACGACUGGGAUAACAUCGGGAAACCGUAUCUAAUACCGGAUAAUAUAUUGCACCGCAUUGUGCACUAGUUAGAGACGGUUUUGCUGUCACUUAUAGAUGGAUCCGCGCCGCAUUAGCUAGUUGGUAAGGUAACGGCUUACCAAGGCAACGAUGCGUAGACGACCUGAGAGGGUGAUCGGACACACGGGAACUGAGACACAGUCCAGACUCCUACGGGAGGCAGCAGUAGGGAAUCUUACGCAAUGGGCGAAAGCCUGACGGAGCAACGCCGCGUGAGUGAUGAAGGUCUUCGGAUCGUAAAACUCUGUUAUUAGUGAAGAACAAAUGUGUAAGUAACUAUGCACGUCUUGACGGUACCUAAUCAGAAAGCCACGGCUAACUACGUG
This 497-nucleotide ribosomal RNA is filed under the name uncultured bacterium. Its description in RNAcentral is "partial 16S ribosomal RNA". It matches the Rfam family "Bacterial small subunit ribosomal RNA", at positions 28 to 507 of the family's 1533-position model. The record is from RNAcentral.